CGAGUCGGGACAAACGGUGACUUGCUCCCGGAUGUUAGCGGCGGACGGGUGAGUAACACGUGGGUAACCUGCCUGUAAGACUGGGAUAACUCCGGGAAACCGGAGCUAAUACCGGAUAGUUCCUUGAACCGCAUGGUUCAAGGAUGAAAGACGGUUUCGGCUGUCACUUACAGAUGGACCCGCGGCGCAUUAGCUAGUUGGUGAGGUAACGGCUCACCAAGGCGACGAUGCGUAGCCGACCUGAGAGGGUGAUCGGCCACACUGGGACUGAGACACGGCCCAGACUCCUACGGGAGGCAGCAGUAGGGAAUCUUCCGCAAUGGACGAAAGUCUGACGGAGCAACGCCGCGUGAGUGAUGAAGGUUUUCGGAUCGUAAAGCUCUGUUGUUAGGGAAGAACAAGUGCAAGAGUAACUGCUUGCACCUUGACGGUACCUAACCAGAAAGCCACGGCUAACUACGUGCCAGCAGCCGCGGUAAUACGUAGGUGGCAAGCGUUGUCCGGAAUUAUUGGGCGUAAAGGGCUCGCAGGCGGUUUCUUAAGUCUGAUGUGAAAGCCCCCGGCUCAACCGGGGAGGGUCAUUGGAAACUGGGAAACUUGAGUGCAGAAGAGGAGAGUGGAAUUCCACGUGUAGCGGUGAAAUGCGUAGAGAUGUGGAGGAACACCAGUGGCGAAGGCGACUCUCUGGUCUGUAACUGACGCUGAGGAGCGAAAGCGUGGGGAGCGAACAGGAUUAGAUACCCUGGUAGUCCACGCCGUAAACGAUGAGUGCUAAGUGUUAGGGGGUUUCCGCCCCUUAGUGCUGCAGCUAACGCAUUAAGCACUCCGCCUGGGGAGUACGGUCGCAAGACUGAAACUCAAAGGAAUUGACGGGGGCCCGCACAAGCGGUGGAGCAUGUGGUUAAUUCAAAGCAACGCGAAGAACCUUACCAGUCUUGACAUCCUCUGACAACCCUAAGAUAGGGCUUUUCCCUUCGGGG
RNAcentral lists this ribosomal RNA (980 nucleotides) under Bacillus pumilus. RNAcentral's name for it is "bacterial SSU rRNA". It matches the Rfam family "Bacterial small subunit ribosomal RNA", at positions 58 to 1026 of the family's 1533-position model. Lineage: Bacteria; Bacillati; Bacillota; Bacilli; Caryophanales; Bacillaceae. The record is from RNAcentral.